UGAGGGCACACUUCAUUUCAUUUUACAAAAAUAUUUAUUUUAUACACUAAAUUUUUACUUGUAGUUGACACAAUAAUUGUACGUAUUUAUGGAGCACAGUGCUAUUAGUAGUAUACGCUUGUGAUACAUGAUAAAUACAGAUUUACCGUGGUACUAGAACACCGACAUCAUUUUAUCUGUGGUGCCUACACAUUUUCUCUUUUGUGUAUCUGAGUGUUUGAAAGAGCAACCUUGUGUUUUACCUUUAGCUCUUUGCCUCUCGGACCCUGUGACUCUGUUUCGCACAGGGACUGGCCUUUUCCUCCUACUAUAAAGAAUGAGCGCUCGGGUGGCACUCCAGGAUGGGUGUGGCUGACCUUCACAGGAUGAGACCUGUCUCUAGAUGGGAUGUGUCGGGAACGGCAUGUGAUGAAAAGCGGGCUGCAGGCUCCACGGCCGGGCCCCUAUCCAGGAGGCAGAGGUAGCGGGUUACUGCUGCAAAGAAGAAAACAGGCCAUUUCGGGUAGGCAAACGGCAGGGUUCUCAUUUAGAUGCAGUGGCUUCCGCUUUCAAAGGAAGCCAAAGCCGCUGACUGAAAAAGGACGAAGGCCAGGGAAGGGGCAGGAGGGGUCCUAAAGGGGGAGUGUGGGGUGCAGGGCCCAGCGUGGCCAACCCGCUGAGAGGACACACUGACUGGAAGUCAGAGCACAGGUGGUCUGGCACACGCCUACACAACACCACUGACAGCUGCAUCGGUUCUCGUCCGUUACUUUAAAACUGCAUAAAGAUAUUUAGGCCGACAAAGUACUUGGAAAUCUUUCAUGACAAAAAUUUCGGGACCAGGCAAAUAAAAACCUGUUCUCAUUCUGAUCACCACACUUCUUUUUUUUUAAUGGCACAAGAAACAUUUGACCUUUGAAGUCUUUUGUGGAUGUUUAACCAAUCUUUACUGAAAUCCCACACACCAAGCCCUGUCACAGGACUGCAGACGCGGACCUGAGCAGGACGUCGGUUUUGCCUCCCUCAGAGCUGAGACUGUACUGGGAGCAGAGACACUAAUAAGCCAGUGAGCGACAUAGUAUAUAUUAGCACUAUGUCAGGAGGCUAAUAAGCAGCUGAAGCAGGGACUCGGGGUCCCCCCGACACCUCACUCAGUUGCCUCCACGCUGUAUGGACCCCAGGACCUGCUGCUCUGUGUCACAGUACUCCUUCUACCAGUCAACUCCCGUCCACACUGACUGCCCACUCGUCCCGCUGGGGCUCCCUUACCCUGCACGGGCCAUCGCCGACGAGGAGCCUGCUCAAGUCAAUCCCUCCCGCUGCCCUUGCUAACGUGUCUGUCCUCAGCAGUCAGUGGAAACUAUAAACUGGAAAUCCACUCUUCCCGUCUGCCUGCAAGAUACUGCUUCUCAUGAUCCUCAAAAUGCAUGCCAAACCCCUGAUAGCAUGUACAAUGCCCUGCAGACCCUGUGUCUAUUUACCUUUCUAAUCUCACUGUGGGCCACGGGACUUACCAACCACCAACGCCCCCCGCCCCGGAAAUGACAGUGUCGGCAGACUGCCUUUACUGACAAUCCUACCAAGGAGGUUUCUGAACAAGUUUCUAGUUUCUGGACACUUUAACGUUUACUAAAAUAUUGUGACAGUACAGAGAGUCACAGCGUUCCGUCAGUUCCCCUACUGUGAACAUCUUACACUGCAUGGUACAUGUGUCACAGCUAACAAGCCAAUGCAGGAAGUGUUAUUACGCUAACAUGCCCGCCUUGUUCACACUGCCUCGUUCUCAUCGCGGGUCCUUUUCUGCUCCAGGACCCCUUCGGGAGCACACGCUACCCGCGGCUGGCAUGUCUCCUCGGGCGCUUUGGGCUCUGACAGUUUCCAGGGUGUCUCAGGUAUCAGCACAACCUCCCCAGGCUGGUUUUUCUGAUGCUGCCCGUAACUGCAUCGGUGUCACGGUUUCACGGCAGAGGACUAUGGGGGUGCAGGUCCUCACCCCCACCAUCAAGGGUACACACUAUUCUCAUGCCUGGUCACUACGACACUGACCCUGUCCACCUGGCUGAGGUGCUGAGGGCCAGGUUGCUCCACUCUGAGUCCCCCCACCCCCUCCGCACUGUGCUCCUUGGAAGGAAGUCAUUCUGCACAGCCCAUCCUUCAGGGUGGGGCGUGACACUCCAUGGUUAUUCAGAAUUCCUCUCCUUGGGAAAUCUGCCCGUUCUCUUACUUACGUACGCAGUCACUCGUAUCAAUAUGGCCUCGUGGAGCUGCAUCUCAUACUCUGGUUACACACCAGUGCUGCAUUACUUGGCCGCUCCAACAGUGCCAACCCCGGCCUUCGGGAGGUGGCAGCGGCUGCCUGCCUGUCACACACACCAUCACACUUGUCUUUCUGGGCCACAGGGUGCUCCAGGCUCCUAUUCUAUCAUCCUUUUGCCAGGCCAAGAAACCAUUUCCCCAAAGAGGCCUGGCUCUUUCCACUGGAGAAUGCUGUAAACCUAGUAGUAUGUGGUGCUAGGCACGCUCGGUGCUCCUAGGACCCACAUGGUGCGAGAGCCAUGAUUAAACUAUCGUUACAGAUUGCCUGUACUAAUCUCCUUCGAGUACGGGGUGACCUUUCGGAGUAGAAGCCGCGAUUCUCUGGCUGGUCUGUGAACAAAAAUAGUAUUUAAUGAGCUAGCAGAGCUGGUGCAGGAUAAUCAGGGCACAAGUGAAUGCGUUUUGGUGACUACAAAGCUCCGCAGAAAUGUAGUAUAUGAAGUGAUUUUAAUCAGCUUACGGUAAAGCCCUGCAGGCUUCUCGCCUCAGCUCUGUGAGUCAGUUGGGAAGGGAGUCUCGGCUGCUGAGAAUCGACUCAUUUAUCUCCUGUUUCUUCUCAUCUUAUCUGAUCUCUGGUCUUUCUAAAAGCUGUCAAAUUAAGACUUAGUCAGAAACUGCUUUUCGACAGAGAGCUACAAAAGAAAUCUGGAUUUCUUUCUGGAAAGGAGCACAGAAAUAAAAUUGCUUACUAUUUACAAAUAGUGCCCUAGAAUACGAACAGUGCGAGUUUAGCCCUCCUCUUCUCCCCAGCGCCCGGGUCUCUGUGGAAGGCCUAAGGAAGGGAGCGCAAGCGUUGUCACCGGCGGAGGCAGAGACCCCAUCACGCGGUCAGGCUUACUGGGCAGCGGUGACAACUUUUCCACCAGGCUGUGCCGGCUAAAAAGCUGUAACCGUGCGGCCAGCUUUGCCAGCCGAGUCAGAAAGGCUCAGAGGAAAUCGGACAAAGAAGAGUUUACUGUCGAUCAGUGGGUGUCAGGCAUGUCUCCUCCAUGUCAAUGGACGUCUUAGACACUCCCUGCCGGGACAAAACGCCUGGCACCCACACUCUAAACAGGAGCUUUACU
This is a long non-coding RNA of Chinchilla lanigera (long-tailed chinchilla), 3359 nucleotides long. RefSeq lists it as uncharacterized. The record is from RefSeq and is a predicted model, not a curated record. The transcript is spliced from 3 exons. Lineage: Eukaryota; Metazoa; Chordata; Mammalia; Rodentia; Chinchillidae.